AUUGAACGCUGGCGGCAGGCCUAACACAUGCAAGUCGAACGAGUGGCGGACGGGUGAGUAAUGUCUGGGAAACUGCCUGAUGGAGGGGGAUAACUACUGGAAACGGUAGCUAAUACCGCAUACCAUCGGAUGUGCCCAUAUGGGAUUAGCUGGUUGGUGGGGUAACGGCUCACCAAGGCGACGAUCCCUAGCUGGUCUGAGAGGAUGACCAGCCACACUGGAACUGAGACACGGUCCAGACUCCUACGGGAGGCAGCAGUGGGGAAUAUUGCACAAUGGGCGCAAGCCUGAUGCAGCCAGGCCGCGUGUAUGAAGAAGGCCUUAGGGUUGUAAAGUACUUUCAGCGGGGAGGCGUUACCCGCAGAAGAAGCACCGGCUAACUCCGUGCCAGCAGCCGCGGUAAUAC
RNAcentral lists this ribosomal RNA (406 nucleotides) under uncultured bacterium. Its description in RNAcentral is "partial 16S ribosomal RNA". It matches the Rfam family "Bacterial small subunit ribosomal RNA", at positions 30 to 526 of the family's 1533-position model. The record is from RNAcentral.